This 253-nucleotide ribosomal RNA is filed under the name uncultured bacterium. Its description in RNAcentral is "partial 16S ribosomal RNA". It matches the Rfam family "Bacterial small subunit ribosomal RNA", at positions 524 to 776 of the family's 1533-position model. The record is from RNAcentral.
UACGUAGGGUGCGAGCGUUGUCCGGAAUUAUUGGGCGUAAAGGGCUCGUAGGCGGUCUGUCGCGUCGAAAGUGAAAACCCAGGGCUUAACCCUGGGCCUGCUUCCGAUACGGGCAGACUAGAGGUAUGCAGGGGAGAACGGAAUUCCUGGUGUAGCGGUGAAAUGCGUAGAGAUCGGGAGGAACACCAGAGGCGAAGGCGGCGACCUGGACAGAUACUGACACUCAACUGCGAAAGCGUGGGGAGCAAACAGG